GUGUCAGCCGCCGCGGUAAUACGUAGGGUGCGAGCGUUAAUCGGAAUUACUGGGCGUAAAGCGUGCGCAGGCGGUUUUGUAAGACAGAUGUGAAAUCCCCGGGCUUAACCUGGGAACUGCGUUUGUGACUGCAAGGCUAGAGUACGGCAGAGGGGGGUGGAAUUCCUGGUGUAGCAGUGAAAUGCGUAGAUAUCAGGAGGAACACCGAUGGCGAAGGCAGCCCCCUGGGCCUGUACUGACGCUCAUGCACGAAAGCGUGGGGAGCAAACAGGAUUAGAAACCCCCGUAGUCC
Molecule: ribosomal RNA, 292 nt
Filed under: uncultured prokaryote
Description: partial 16S ribosomal RNA
Rfam family: Bacterial small subunit ribosomal RNA
Source: RNAcentral